RNAcentral lists this ribosomal RNA (2626 nucleotides) under uncultured Mailhella sp. RNAcentral describes it as "partial contains 16S ribosomal RNA, 16S-23S ribosomal RNA intergenic spacer, and 23S ribosomal RNA". The stretch from base 1 to 1519 matches the Rfam family "Bacterial small subunit ribosomal RNA". Lineage: Bacteria; Pseudomonadati; Thermodesulfobacteriota; Desulfovibrionia; Desulfovibrionales; Desulfovibrionaceae. The record is from RNAcentral.
AUUGAACGCUGGCGGCGUGCCUUACACAUGCAAGUCGAACGUGAAAGUACCUUCGGGUAUGAGUAAAGUGGCGCACGGGUGAGUAACGCGUGGAUAAUCUACCGGGAAGUUCGGAAUAACAGCUGGAAACGGUUGCUAAUACCGGAUACACUACAUAUAAACGUAUGUGGGAAAGACGGCCUCUGCAUAUGCUGUUGCUUUCCGAUGAGUCCGCGUACCAUUAGCUAGUUGGUGGGGUAAAGGCCUACCAAGGCGACGAUGGUUAACUGGUCUGAGAGGAUGAUCAGUCACACUGGAACUGGAACACGGUCCAGACUCCUACGGGAGGCAGCAGUGGGGAAUAUUGCGCAAUGGGCGAAAGCCUGACGCAGCGACGCCGCGUGAGGGAUGAAGGUCUUCGGAUCGUAAACCUCUGUCAGCAGGGAAGAACGGUCACUGUGCUAAUCAGCAGUGAAUUGACGGUACCUGCAAAGGAAGCACCGGCUAACUCCGUGCCAGCAGCCGCGGUAAUACGGAGGGUGCGAGCGUUAAUCGGAAUUACUGGGCGUAAAGCGCUCGUAGGCGGUAUGUCAAGUCAAGGGUGAAAUCCCCGCGCUCAACGUGGGAACUGCCUUUGAAACUGGCAAACUGGAGUGUGUGAGAGGAUAGUGGAAUUCCAGGUGUAGGAGUGAAAUCCGUAGAUAUCUGGAGGAACAUCAGUGGCGAAGGCGACUAUCUGGCACAUAACUGACGCUGAGGAGCGAAAGCGUGGGUAGCAAACAGGAUUAGAUACCCUGGUAGUCCACGCUGUAAACGAUGGAUACUAGGUGCAGGGGAGUAUUUUUCUGUGCCGUAGCUAACGCGUUAAGUAUCCCGCCUGGGGAGUACGGUCGCAAGGCUGAAACUCAAAGAAAUUGACGGGGGCCCGCACAAGCGGUGGAGUAUGUGGUUUAAUUCGAUGCAACGCGAAGAACCUUACCCAGGCUUGACAUCUAGGGAACCUAACAGAGAUGUUGGGGUGCUCUUCGGAGAACCCUAAGACAGGUGCUGCAUGGCUGUCGUCAGCUCGUGCCGUGAGGUGUUGGGUUAAGUCCCGCAACGAGCGCAACCCCUGUCCUUAGUUGCCAGCAGGUGAAGCUGGGCACUCUAGGGAGACCGCUUCGGUUAACGGAGAGGAAGGUGGGGACGACGUCAAGUCAUCAUGGCCCUUACGCCUGGGGCUACACACGUACUACAAUGGUGCAUACAAAGGGUUGCGAAACCGCGAGGUCAGGCUAAUCCCAAAAAAUGCAUCUCAGUUCGGAUUGGAGUCUGCAACUCGACUCCAUGAAGUCGGAAUCGCUAGUAAUUCCAGAUCAGCAUGCUGGGGUGAAUGCGUUCCCGGGCCUUGUACACACCGCCCGUCACACCACGAAAGUUGGUUUUACCCGAAGCCGAUGAGCUAACAGCAAUGAGGCAAUCGUCUACGGUAGGCCCGAUGAUUGGGGUGAAGUCGUAACAAGGUAGCCGUAGGGGAACCUGCGGCUGGAUCACCUCCUUUAAGAGCAUUCCAUUCGUUCUUCAAUCACAAUGCGCAAAGCGAUUUGCGGAUUGUCUGAAAUCCUGUAAAGAGACCACAUAGUGCAAACUUUGCAGGGGCUGUGAAGGUUUUGUUUGGCAUAGGGAAAUUUCGUCAGGUUUUCAUGAUAUUGAAGACCGGCUGAAAAAUCUGGAAGGUCACAACUGGAUAACUUCACACUUUUGCGCCGGUAUUUGCGUUUUAUGCGAGGAAGCUGAAUUUUUUGAGACGGGAGUGUAUCACGACAUACAUGACCGAGCAAAAAAUGAAGCAGACGAAGCAGAAAGGGCAAAGAUCAAGCAAAAAAAGGGCCUGUAGCUCAGGUGGUUAGAGCGCACGCCUGAUAAGCGUGAGGUCGAAAGUUCAAGUCUUUCCAGGCCCACCACAAAUCGGGGGCGUAGCUCAGCUGGGAGAGCAUCUGCUUUGCACGCAGAGGGUCGGGGGUUCGAUUCCCUUCGCCUCCACCAUUGAAACAAGUUUGGCAGAAGGAAUAAGUAGCCUUAUUAUUUUUAUCCGAAUUUGUUUCGGCAGUAACGUAAGUUACGGUUCUUUGACAAUUGAACAGAAAAAGAAGAAGACAAGUUUUUUUGAGACAAGUUAUUAAGAGCAACGGGCGGAUGCCUUGGCGCUGGAAGGCGAUGAAAGACGUGAUAAGCUGCGAUAAGCGUCGGUGAGGAGCUAAAUAUCCAUUGACCCGGCGAUUUCUGAAUGGGGAAACCCAGCCGGAGUAAUGUCCGGCUGCCGCAACAUGAAUGAAUAGUGUUGCAGGAGCUAACCUAGGGAAGUGAAACAUCUCAGUACCUAGAGGAAAAGAAAUCAAACGAGACUCCCAAAGUAGCGGCGAGCGAAAUGGGAAGAGGCCAAACCUGUAGGAUUCGUCCUAUGGGGGUUGUAGGGCUGACAGACGCAAUCUUUGAGUAGGUAGAAGAAGCUGGCUGGAAAGCCACACCAUAGGGGGUGAAAGUCCCGUAUUUGAAGCCGAAAGGGGUGCAGUCAGUCCCUGAGUACUGCGAGGCACGUGAAACCUCGUGGGAAUCAAGGAGGACCAUCUUCUAAGCCUAAGUACUAACCAGCGACCGAUAGUGAACC